This 547-nucleotide ribosomal RNA is filed under the name uncultured bacterium. RNAcentral describes it as "bacterial SSU rRNA". It matches the Rfam family "Bacterial small subunit ribosomal RNA", at positions 294 to 857 of the family's 1533-position model. The record is from RNAcentral.
GAGAGGGUGAACGGCCACAUUGGGACUGAGACACGGCCCAAACUCCUACGGGAGGCAGCAGUGGGGAAUAUUGCACAAUGGGGGAAACCCUGAUGCAGCGACGCCGCGUGAGUGAAGAAGUAUCUCGGUACGUAAAGCUCUAUCAGCAGGGAAGAAAAUGACGGUACCUGAUUAAGAAGCCCCGGCUAACUACGUGCCAGCAGCCGCGGUAAUACGUAGGGGGCAAGCGUUAUCCGGAUUUACUGGGUGUAAAGGGAGCGUAGACGGCAGCGCAAGUCUGGAGUGAAAUGCCGGGGCCCAACCCCGGAACUGCUUUGGAAACUGUGCAGCUCGAGUGCAGGAGAGGUAAGCGGAAUUCCUAGUGUAGCGGUGAAAUGCGUAGAUAUUAGGAGGAACACCAGUGGCGAAGGCGGCUUACUGGACUGUAACUGACGUUGAGGCUCGAAAGCGUGGGGAGCAAACAGGAUUAGAUACCCUGGUAGUCCACGCCGUAAACGAUGAUUACUAGGUGUCGGGGGGCCAAGGCCCUCCGGUGCCGCCGCAAACG